This 465-nucleotide ribosomal RNA is filed under the name uncultured bacterium. RNAcentral describes it as "partial 16S ribosomal RNA". It matches the Rfam family "Bacterial small subunit ribosomal RNA", at positions 28 to 507 of the family's 1533-position model. The record is from RNAcentral.
GACGAACGCUGGCGGCGUGCUUAACACAUGCAAGUCGAACGGAAAGGCCCCUUUGGGGGUACCCGAGUGGCGAACGGGUGAGUAACACGUGAGUAACCUGCCCUUGACUUCGGGAUAACUUCAGGAAACUGGGGCUAAUACCGGAUAGGAAUCCUUGCUGCAUGGUGGGGGUUGGAAAGCUUCGGCGGUUUUGGAUGGACUCGCGGCUUAUCAGCUUGUUGGUGGGGUAGUGGCUUACCAAGGCUUUGACGGGUAGCCGGCCUGAGAGGGCGACCGGCCACAUUGGGACUGAGAUACGGCCCAGACUCCUACGGGAGGCAGCAGUGGGGAAUAUUGCACAAUGGGCGGAAGCCUGAUGCAGCAACGCCGCGGGCGGGAUGACGGCCUUCGGGUUGUAAACCGCUUUCAGCAGGGGCGAAGCUUGUGGUGACGGUACCUGCAGAAGAAGCACCGGCUAACUACGUG